CUGUAUUGGGUGCGUGCUGAAUAUAUACGUCUUUCACACAGCUGGCUGGGGUGUGUGUGGUUGCGUUCCACGUCCAGGCAUAGGUUGGUGCUGUGCGGUCAGCGGGGCCCACAGAGUGCUGUGCUCUCCUUUCUGACACCUGUGUGGAUUUUAAACUGUUGAUUUCACUUAAGCUGGACAUUAAGUGUUUGAGGAACUGUUGGGGGCCGGGGUGGGGAUGAAGGGAUCGCUUCAUUUGAUGUUUACUUUUUGGCAAUGAUGUCCAAACACCACCGUGACGUUUGUGGGCAGGAGGGGCCCCGGCUCUGCCCCGGCUCCAUUCCUCAGUUGUGGCUUUUAUUUCCUGAGGUCAUUCCUGGCGUGGAGCUGUUGGUUUUGUUCCCGAGGCGGUGCCAGAUCCGGGAAGGCUGAGCGCCGAUCCAUCCCCAUCUCCAUCCCUGUGCCACUGAGAGCUGCUGCUUGUGGCCAGGUGGGAGCAGGAGCAGCUGAGGGGUCCUAUUCUAUCUCCUGCCAUGAGCAGAGCUCAGAAACCCCAAAGGGAGAAGUGCUGAGGCUGGGGUGGGCGGAAUGCAGCAGUGCUGAGCUCAGGGUUGGGCUCAGCUCAGAGCUAUGAGUGCUGCAUCGAUGCCUGCAUGCAGCCCUUCCCAGGAACGCUUCUUUAAAGAGAUUAUUUCCCUUUCUUCCUUUCUUUUUCUUUCCUCCUUGGUUAAUCUCAUUCUGUUUCCUCCUUCUUUACCUUCGAGCAAAGAGAUCUGUACAAUAUAGGGGAAAUUUUGUAUGGGAAUAAUUCUGCCAGCUGUCGGCAGCAAUCAGGAUUACAGGCAAAGCGCAUAUAUGGUUACGUGGUCUCUCCUAUCACCAUUAGGAUAAUGUGAAGAAUCGCUUAAAAGGAC
Molecule: long non-coding RNA, 893 nt
Filed under: Gallus gallus (chicken)
Lineage: Eukaryota; Metazoa; Chordata; Aves; Galliformes; Phasianidae
Description: long non-coding RNA NONGGAT005515
Source: RNAcentral